Long non-coding RNA from Homo sapiens (human), 377 nucleotides. Ensembl annotates it as family with sequence similarity 157 member C. Its record names the gene FAM157C. The record is from Ensembl. Lineage: Eukaryota; Metazoa; Chordata; Mammalia; Primates; Hominidae.
AGUGAUGUCAGCAUGACAUUGAUUUCCUGAGGCCCAGGGGCGAAGGAGCUGAGGACAGCAGAGGGGUGAAGGAACUCAGCUACAGACAGCAGCAGCUGAUGCACAGGCCUCCCAGCGCCUGAAGUCACCCGGAAUUGGGAAGUGCUCAGAAGCUUACAAAGCUGCCUCGAGGGUCGGGAGGCCAUGCCAAGCAUUGUGAUUUGCAGAGUCCAUGAGACAGGAACACUCCCACCACAGUGACCUGCCUCUGCACACAGCCAGAAUGUAGCUGACUCCUUUCUUCUCCCACUUGCAUGCUUCCAAGCCUUCAAAACAUACUCAUCUCCAUGUUCUGUGAAUUAGCAAUUUUUAAAAAAAUAAAAAAAUAAACAAACUCA